CCUACGGGAGGCUGCAGUGGGGAAUAUUGGACAAUGGGCGAAAGCCUGAUCCAGCAAUGCCGCGUGAGUGAUGAAGGCCUUAGGGUUGUAAAGCUCUUUUACCGGGGAUGAUAAUGACGGUACCCGGAGAAUAAGCCCCGGCUAACUCCGUGCCAGCAGCCGCGGUAAUACGGAGGGGGCUAGCGUUGUUCGGAAUUACUGGGCGUAAAGCGCACGUAGGCGGCUACUCAAGUCAGAGGUGAAAGCCCGGGGCUCAACCCCGGAACUGCCUUUGAAACUAGGUAGCUGGAAUCUUGGAGAGGUCAGUGGAAUUCCGAGUGUAGAGGUGAAAUUCGUAGAUAUUCGGAAGAACACCAGUGGCGAAGGCGACUGACUGGACAAGUAUUGACGCUGAGGUGCGAAAGCGUGGGGAGCAAACAGGAUUAGAUACCCUUGUAGUC
Molecule: ribosomal RNA, 440 nt
Filed under: Salmonella enterica subsp. enterica
Lineage: Bacteria; Pseudomonadati; Pseudomonadota; Gammaproteobacteria; Enterobacterales; Enterobacteriaceae
Description: bacterial SSU rRNA
Rfam family: Bacterial small subunit ribosomal RNA
Source: RNAcentral